UACGUAGAAUGCAAGCGUUGUCCGGAAUUAUUGGGCGUAAAGAGCUCGUAAGCGGUCUGUCGCGUCUGCUGUGAAAACUCAGGGCUUAACCCUGAGCUUGCAGUGGGUACGGACAGACUAGAGUGCGGUAGGAGAGACUGGAAUUCCUGGUGUAGCGGUGAAAUGCGCAAAUAUCAGGAGGAACACCGAUGGCGAAGGCGGGUCUCUGGGCCGUAACUGACGCUGAAAAGCGAAAGCAUGGAGAGCGAACAGG
This 253-nucleotide ribosomal RNA is filed under the name uncultured bacterium. RNAcentral describes it as "partial 16S ribosomal RNA". It matches the Rfam family "Bacterial small subunit ribosomal RNA", at positions 524 to 776 of the family's 1533-position model. The record is from RNAcentral.